This 205-nucleotide non-coding RNA is filed under the name Lysinibacillus xylanilyticus. The record is from RNAcentral. Lineage: Bacteria; Bacillati; Bacillota; Bacilli; Caryophanales; Bacillaceae.
UAAUUCUUGCAGAAUAAGGGUGCUGAACUAUAGCAUAAUCGGGAAUUCGGUGAAAAACCGAAGCUGUUUCCGCAACUGUAAGUACAGGAAUCAUAAAGAUAUACCACUGUCGAAUUGUCUGAUGGGAAGGUUUUUAUGACUCACAACGUGAUUGAAUGUUGUGAACUGUACAAGCCAGGAGACCGACCUUUGUUUGAACGUAUGA